Molecule: ribosomal RNA, 756 nt
Filed under: Escherichia coli
Lineage: Bacteria; Pseudomonadati; Pseudomonadota; Gammaproteobacteria; Enterobacterales; Enterobacteriaceae
Description: partial 23S ribosomal RNA
Rfam family: Bacterial large subunit ribosomal RNA
Source: RNAcentral
AUGGAGCCGACCUUGAAAUACCACCCUUUAAUGUUUGAUGUUCUAACGUUGACCCGUAAUCCGGGUUGCGGACAGUGUCUGGUGGGUAGUUUGACUGGGGCGGUCUCCUCCUAAAGAGUAACGGAGGAGCACGAAGGUUGGCUAAUCCUGGUCGGACAUCAGGAGGUUAGUGCAAUGGCAUAAGCCAGCUUGACUGCGAGCGUGACGGCGCGAGCAGGUGCGAAAGCAGGUCAUAGUGAUCCGGUGGUUCUGAAUGGAAGGGCCAUCGCUCAACGGAUAAAAGGUACUCCGGGGAUAACAGGCUGAUACCGCCCAAGAGUUCAUAUCGACGGCGGUGUUUGGCACCUCGAUGUCGGCUCAUCACAUCCUGGGGCUGAAGUAGGUCCCAAGGGUAUGGCUGUUCGCCAUUUAAAGUGGUACGCGAGCUGGGUUUAGAACGUCGUGAGACAGUUCGGUCCCUAUCUGCCGUGGGCGCUGGAGAACUGAGGGGGGCUGCUCCUAGUACGAGAGGACCGGAGUGGACGCAUCACUGGUGUUCGGGUUGUCAUGCCAAUGGCACUGCCCGGUAGCUAAAUGCGGAAGAGAUAAGUGCUGAAAGCAUCUAAGCACGAAACUUGCCCCGAGAUGAGUUCUCCCUGACUCCUUGAGAGUCCUGAAGGAACGUUGAAGACGACGACGUUGAUAGGCCGGGUGUGUAAGCGCAGCGAUGCGUUGAGCUAACCGGUACUAAUGAACCGUGAGGCUUAACCUUACAAC